This 201-nucleotide long non-coding RNA is filed under the name Elaeis guineensis (African oil palm). RNAcentral's name for it is "long non-coding RNA (EGUI_LNC031914)". Lineage: Eukaryota; Viridiplantae; Streptophyta; Magnoliopsida; Arecales; Arecaceae. The record is from RNAcentral.
AGUAAUUACUUUUCGAGCCAACCAGCAGGCUUUUUACACUUGCUCCAUAUGUGUCCGAUCUUGCCACGAUUGUAGCACCGUAGAGUAGAACCAAUUGAAGCUGACUUAGAAGACUUCAAAUCAACAGUGCUACGAAUAGGAGAGGUAGAAACCGUAUUGCCCCGCAUAUCUCCUGCUUCUUUGGUGCUUGGUUACUCCACA